AAAUAACUUGCGUAAAUUGGCAAGUGUUCAAUAUGAUAUCAAAUAAAGGUUGGACCUUUGGACUUACCCCCUGAGUAGUGAGCAAAUUACAGGACGGGAACCCAGAGAGACAUCUUUUUCAUCUGCUUCGUCGACGGAGCUCUCACGGAUAUGAAGCUGUUAUUGAUUGCCAUGUUUGCAACACUGAUUGUCAUGGUUCAGUCAUGCGGAGGUGGUGGGGAUUCACAUACCAAACCAGGGGAGGACGACUUCGGAGGACGAAGAAGGGAAUGCGAUGCCGAUAGAUGCUCGAACGCCGGCCAGUGUGGCGAAGACUGCUACUGCAAGGCUUCUGGAGGCAACGCCCUAGCCAACAGGUGCGCGCUGAAGAAACUGGACUGAAUGUUUGCCGUGGCUCAUGGCGUCUACAGUUCCUAUGAACAUGCUUAUUCCCACCACUAAUGCUCGCAUAAAGUGUCCAAUAAACGCCAUUUAUAG
Ornithodoros turicata is the source of this 477-nucleotide long non-coding RNA. RefSeq lists it as uncharacterized. The transcript is spliced from 3 exons. NCBI's taxonomy places the organism in Eukaryota, Metazoa, Arthropoda, Arachnida, Ixodida, Argasidae. The record is from RefSeq and is a predicted model, not a curated record.